GAUUAUGGCUCAGAACGAACGCUGGUAGCGUGGAUUAGGCAUGCAAGUCGAACGGGAUCGCCCGGAUAGCAAUAUCGGGCGUGAGAGUGGCGGACUGGGGAGGAGCACGUGAGCAACCUGCCCUUGGGACGGGGGAAAACCUCUGGAAACGGAGGCUAAUACCGGAUGCGGCGCCUGGAGACAUCUCCGGAGCGCCAAAGGGGGCCGCAAGGCUCCCGCCCGAGGAGGGGCUCGCGCACCAUCAGCUUGUUGGCGGGGUAACGGCCCACCAAGGCUUACGGUUAGCUGGUCUGAGAGGAUGGCCAGCCCCACUGGGACUGAGAUACUGCCCAGACUCCUACGGGAGGCUGCAGUCGAGGAUCAUUCGCAAUGGGCGAAAGCCUGACGAUGCGACGCUGCGGUUGGGAGGAUGAAGGCCGUUCGGGUUAGUAAACUCCUGUCAGUGGGGGAACAGGCGAGGGGACCCAACACGUCCCUUAGUUGAGUGUACCCCAAGAGGAAUUGGCGGCUAACUCUGUGCCAGCCGCAGC
Molecule: ribosomal RNA, 530 nt
Filed under: uncultured bacterium
Lineage: Bacteria
Description: bacterial SSU rRNA
Rfam family: Bacterial small subunit ribosomal RNA
Source: RNAcentral